Molecule: ribosomal RNA, 305 nt
Filed under: uncultured bacterium
Lineage: Bacteria
Description: bacterial SSU rRNA
Rfam family: Bacterial small subunit ribosomal RNA
Source: RNAcentral
UUGCCUACGGGACGCAGCAGUGGGGAAUAUUGCACAAUGGGGGAAACCCUGAUGCAGCGACGCCGCGUGAGUGAAGAAGUAUCUCGGUACGUAAAGCUCUAUCAGCAGGGAAGAAAAUGACGGUACCUGACUAAGAAGCCCCGGCUAACUACGUGCCAGCAGCCGCGGUAAUACGUAGGGGGCAAGCGUUAUCCGGAUUUACUGGGUGUAAAGGGAGCGUAGACGGUAAUGCAAGUCUGGAGUGAAAGGCGGGGGCCCAACCCCCGGACUGCUCUGGAAACUGUGUAACUGGAGUGCAGGAGAGG